GGCACCAGGAAGGAGAGAGGAGAGAGAGAGAGAGAGAGAGAGAGAGAGAGAGAGAAUGAAUAUGNUCUCUUACUCCCCUCUCUCUCCCCCUCCCCUCUCUCCUCCCCCUUCUCAUCUCUCUUCCCUCCUCCUCUCUCUCUCUCUCUUCCCUCCUCCUCUCUCUCUCUCUCUUCCC
This 175-nucleotide small RNA is filed under the name Marmota monax (woodchuck). Lineage: Eukaryota; Metazoa; Chordata; Mammalia; Rodentia; Sciuridae. The record is from RNAcentral.